This 417-nucleotide ribosomal RNA is filed under the name uncultured beta proteobacterium. RNAcentral describes it as "bacterial SSU rRNA". It matches the Rfam family "Bacterial small subunit ribosomal RNA", at positions 370 to 779 of the family's 1533-position model. The record is from RNAcentral. Lineage: Bacteria; Pseudomonadati; Pseudomonadota; Betaproteobacteria.
AAUGGGCGCAAGCCUGAUCCAGCAAUGCCGCGUGUGUGAAGAAGGCCUCCGGGUUGUAAAGCACUUUUGUCCGGAAAGAAAACCUCGUGGUUAAUACCCGUGGGGGAUGACGGUACCGGAAGAAUAAGCACCGGCUAACUACGUGCCAGCAGCCGCGGUAAUACGUAGGGUGCAAGCGUUAAUCGGAAUUACUGGGCGUAAAGCGUGCGCAGGCGGUUCGCUAAGACAGAUGUGAAAUCCCCGGGCUUAACCUGGGAACUGCAUUUGUGACUGGCGGGCUAGAGUAUGGCAGAGGGGGGUAGAAUUCCACGUGUAGCAGUGAAAUGCGUAGAGAUGUGGAGGAAUACCGAUGGCGAAGGCAGCCCCCGGGGCCAAUACUGACGCUCAUGCACGAAAGCGUGGGGAGCAAACAGGAUU